UCUCUGUUAGUAUAUCGGUUAGUACACGCGCCUGUCAUCCACAAAGACCGCGCGAAAGCGGGGUUCGACUCCCCGACAGAGAG
This 83-nucleotide transfer RNA is filed under the name Trametes coccinea BRFM310. RNAcentral's name for it is "tRNA-Asp". It matches the Rfam family "tRNA". Rfam says of the family: Transfer RNA (tRNA) molecules are approximately 80 nucleotides in length. Their secondary structure includes four short double-helical elements and three loops (D, anti-codon, and T loops). Lineage: Eukaryota; Fungi; Basidiomycota; Agaricomycetes; Polyporales; Polyporaceae. The record is from RNAcentral.